CUCUUCGGAGUUAGUGGCGGACGGGUGAGUAACACGUGGGAACGUGCCUUUAGGUUCGGAAUAACUCAGGGAAACUUGUGCUAAUACCGAAUGUGCCCUUCGGGGGAAAGAUUUAUCGCCUUUAGAGCGGCCCGCGUCUGAUUAGCUAGUUGGUGAGGUAAAGGCUCACCAAGGCGACGAUCAGUAGCUGGUCUGAGAGGAUGAUCAGCCACAUUGGGACUGAGACACGGCCCAAACUCCUACGGGAGGCAGCAGUGGGGAAUCUUGCGCAAUGGGCGAAAGCCUGACGCAGCCAUGCCGCGUGAAUGAUGAAGGUCUUAGGAUUGUAAAAUUCUUUCACCGGGGACGAUAAUGACGGUACCCGGAGAAGAAGCCCCGGCUAACUUCGUGCCAGCAGCCGCGGUAAUACGAAGGGGGCUAGCGUUGCUCGGAAUUACUGGGCGUAAAGGGAGCGUAGGCGGACAUUUAAGUCAGGGGUGAAAUCCCGGGGCUCAACCUCGGAAUUGCCUUUGAUACUGGGUGUCUUGAGUGUGAGAGAGGUAUGUGGAACUCCGAGUGUAGAGGUGAAAUUCGUAGAUAUUCGGAAGAACACCAGUGGCGAAGGCGACAUACUGGCUCAUUACUGACGCUGAGGCUCGAAAGCGUGGGGAGCAAACAGGAUUAGAUACCCUGGUAGUCCACGCCGUAAACGAUGAUUGCUAGUUGUCGGGAUGCAUGCAUUUCGGUGACGCAGCUAACGCA
RNAcentral lists this ribosomal RNA (741 nucleotides) under bacterium. Its description in RNAcentral is "bacterial SSU rRNA". It matches the Rfam family "Bacterial small subunit ribosomal RNA", at positions 82 to 859 of the family's 1533-position model. The record is from RNAcentral.